AUGAUAUAAAAACGUGGCUGAAUGAGCUGAAACAGCAAACUGAGAAAGAUGAAUACAAUGACAAGGCAUUUGAUAAAAAACCUAAUGGAAAUUCUGAGUCAGCACAACUUUCUGUAAUUUUAAAGAAAAUUUGCAACAACAUUGAAAGUAGAAGUAAAUACCAAAGGGGCUUGCUUUCCAAAGUAGAGACAUUAUAUUCGAAGCUACAAGAAGCUUGCAAAAAUUUGGAAGCAGAUGCAUCCAGGGGUACGCCACCUCUUGCAGUGCAUGGAGCAGGUGCUCGCCAAAAAGAAUCUCCAGACGAAAGCAAAUUAUCAGCUGCUAUUGUUAAUGCAGAAAAAUUGAUUGAAAAGGUUUCAUCAAAACGGUAAUCAAAUUUAUUUUUGAUACAAGUCAUUCAUACUUCUUAAAAUUAAACAAUGUCGACUGAAAUU
Molecule: long non-coding RNA, 434 nt
Organism: Ruditapes philippinarum (Manila clam)
Lineage: Eukaryota; Metazoa; Mollusca; Bivalvia; Venerida; Veneridae
Exons: 3
Source: RefSeq, a predicted model, not a curated record